AUACGUAGGUGGCGAGCGUUGUCCGGAUUUACUGGGCGUAAAGGGAGCGUAGGCGGAUUUUUAAGUGGGAUGUGAAAUACCCGGGCUUAACCUGGGUGCUGCAUUCCAAACUGGAAGUCUAGAGUACAGGAGGGGAAAGCGGAAUUCCUAGUGUAGCGGUGAAAUGCGUAGAGAUUAGGAAGAACACCAGUGGCGAAGGCGGCUUUCUGGACUGUAACUGACGCUGAGGCUCGAAAGCGUGGGGAGC
RNAcentral lists this ribosomal RNA (247 nucleotides) under uncultured bacterium. RNAcentral describes it as "partial 16S ribosomal RNA". It matches the Rfam family "Bacterial small subunit ribosomal RNA", at positions 523 to 769 of the family's 1533-position model. The record is from RNAcentral.